RNAcentral lists this transfer RNA (73 nucleotides) under Orussus abietinus. Its description in RNAcentral is "tRNA-Lys". It matches the Rfam family "tRNA". From Rfam's summary of the family: Transfer RNA (tRNA) molecules are approximately 80 nucleotides in length. Their secondary structure includes four short double-helical elements and three loops (D, anti-codon, and T loops). Lineage: Eukaryota; Metazoa; Arthropoda; Insecta; Hymenoptera; Orussidae. The record is from RNAcentral.
GCCCGGCUAGCUCGGUCGGUAGAGAAUGAGACUCUUAAUCUCAGGGUCGUGGGUUCUAGCCCCACAUUGGGCG